GAUGAACGCUGGCGGCGUGCUUAACACAUGCAAGUCGAACGGUGAAGGCGGAGCUUGCUCUGCUGGAUCAGUGGCGAACGGGUGAGUAACACGUGAGCAAUCUGCCCCUGACUCUGGGAUAAGCGCUGGAAACGGCGUCUAAUACUGGAUACGAGCUGCGAAGGCAUCUUCAGCAGCUGGAAAGAAUUUCGGUCAGGGAUGAGCUCGCGGCCUAUCAGCUUGUUGGUGAGGUAAUGGCUCACCAAGGCGUCGACGGGUAGCCGGCCUGAGAGGGUGACCGGCCACACUGGGACUGAGACACGGCCCAGACUCCUACGGGAGGCAGCAGUGGGAAAUAUUGCACAAUGGGCGAAAGCCUGAUGCGGCAACGCCGCGUGAGGGACAACGGCCUUCGGGUUGUAAACCUCUUUUAGAGGGGAAGAGGCGAAAGUGACGGUACCUGCAGAAAAAGCGCCGGCUAACUACGUG
RNAcentral lists this ribosomal RNA (468 nucleotides) under uncultured bacterium. RNAcentral describes it as "partial 16S ribosomal RNA". It matches the Rfam family "Bacterial small subunit ribosomal RNA", at positions 28 to 507 of the family's 1533-position model. The record is from RNAcentral.